ACGCUGGCGGCGUGCCUAACACAUGCAAGUCGAACGGGGGCACCUUCGGGUGCUUAGUGGCGAACGGGUGAGUAACGCGUGAGAAACCUGCCUCUCAGUGGGGGACAACAGUUGGAAACGACUGCUAAUACCGCAUAAUGUUUCGGAAGGGCAUCCUUCUGAAACCAAAGCUUUAUGUGCUGAGAGAUGGUCUCGCGUCUGAUUAGCUAGAUGGCGGGGUAACGGCCCACCAUGGCGACGAUCAGUAGCCGGUCUGAGAGGAUGAACGGCCACAUUGGGACUGAGACACGGCCCAGACUCCUACGGGAGGCAGCAGUGAGGAAUAUUGGGCAAUGGGCGCAAGCCUGACCCAGCAAUGCCGCGUGAAGGAAGACGGUUUUCGGAUUGUAAACUUCUUUUAAGAGGGACGAUAAUGACGGUACCUCUUGAAUAAGCCACGGCUAACUACGUG
Molecule: ribosomal RNA, 451 nt
Filed under: uncultured bacterium
Lineage: Bacteria
Description: bacterial SSU rRNA
Rfam family: Bacterial small subunit ribosomal RNA
Source: RNAcentral